GACGUAGGAUGCGAGCGUUGUCCGGAAUUAUUGGGCGUAAAGAGUACGUAGGCGGUUCACUAAGUCUGGGGUUAAAGACCGAAGCUCAACUUCGGGGGUGCCCUGGAAACUGGUGAACUGGAGGACGGCAGAGGAAGGUGGAAUUCCCAGUGUAGCGGUGAAAUGCGUAGAUAUUGGGAGGAACACCGGUGGCGAAAGCGGCCUUCUGGGCCGUUCCUGACGCUGAGGUACGAAAGCCAGGGGAGCAAACGGG
This 253-nucleotide ribosomal RNA is filed under the name uncultured bacterium. Its description in RNAcentral is "partial 16S ribosomal RNA". It matches the Rfam family "Bacterial small subunit ribosomal RNA", at positions 524 to 776 of the family's 1533-position model. The record is from RNAcentral.